Molecule: long non-coding RNA, 814 nt
Filed under: Olea europaea subsp. europaea
Lineage: Eukaryota; Viridiplantae; Streptophyta; Magnoliopsida; Lamiales; Oleaceae
Source: RNAcentral
GUUACAUUUUACAUCCAUUAAUACUUGUAUUUUUGUAAUUAAUUAACGCCUAAAUAUACUCAAUACUCUCAUAUUUUGAUUUAGGUUAUGAAUGGAUGGAAAAUAUGGAGUUUGGACGAAAAGCACGAAAAGGAUCAAAAUGUAAGAAAAUGAAAGCUCAAGGACCAAGUUGAAAAUAAUCCAUGGAUGAGACGGGUGAUGGAAUGAAGAUUCAAGAGCGUUGGAGGUCAAUUGGAUGAAGAAAGAAGUCGAAGAGGUGAAAUAAAGUCGAAAUAUUAUCACGUAUCAACUUUCAGGCGAAAAAUUUAUGCUCAAGAUUUUUAGUCUCUACUUGAGACCCAUUUUUGGUAUGGUAAAUGUCCAAAUUUGGAAAAGCUUACUCUAUCAAAAUUGUAGAUCUUUGAGUUAGAUUCCUAAUGCACUUUGAAUCACCUCAAUCGGAUAUCGAGAGAGAAAAAUAUGAUCAAAAUACUGAAAGUUGUCAGACGAAAAAACGAUUGUUUUAUGCAUCACAUAGUUCAAAAUCAAUGCGGUCGCAUAGUGAUCUCCAGGGAACUUCAGAGCUAAAAAUCAUUGUUCUAUUCGACUGUAACCCUUAUAACUAUGUGGUCGCAUAGUUAUAUUUCGACACGUGAUUUUUAGUUUCCUAAUUUCAUUCAACUACUCAUGGAAACAAAUCUUGUACAUAAUAUAUAUACCCGAAAUCUCGUCCAAAACCUAGGGAACGCCCCCAACCUAACUUUUUCUCUUUUUCCUCUAGAUUUAUGAUGUGUAACUAAUUCUCUUUGCUUGAUCGAAAGAGACGGAAGCUUUG